GACGAACGCUGGCGGCGUGCUUAACACAUGCAAGUCGAACGGAAAGGCCCUGCUUUUGUGGGGUGCUCGAGUGGCGAACGGGUGAGUAACACGUGAGUAACCUGCCCUUGACUUUGGGAUAACUUCAGGAAACUGGGGCUAAUACCAGAUAGGAGCUCCUGCUGCAUGGUGGGGGUUGGAAAGUUUCGGCGGUUGGGGAUGGACUCGCGGCUUAUCAGCUUGUUGGUGGGGUAGUGGCUUACCAAGGCUUUGACGGGUAGCCGGCCUGAGAGGGUGACCGGCCACAUUGGGACUGAGAUACGGCCCAGACUCCUACGGGAGGCAGCAGUGGGGAAUAUUGCACAAUGGGCGGAAGCCCGAUGCAGCAACGCCGCGUGCGGGAUGACGGCCUUCGGGUUGUAAACCGCUUUCGCCUGUGACGAAGCGUGAGUGACGGUAAUGGGUAAAGAAGCACCGGCUAACUACGUG
Molecule: ribosomal RNA, 468 nt
Filed under: uncultured bacterium
Lineage: Bacteria
Description: partial 16S ribosomal RNA
Rfam family: Bacterial small subunit ribosomal RNA
Source: RNAcentral